UUAAGAAUGGCAGAAGAAAUAAAUGCGUUAGAUUUAGGGUCUUAUAAUGAAAUUAUAAAUUUUUUCUUUUUUGAAU
RNAcentral lists this transfer RNA (76 nucleotides) under Obrimoposthia wandeli. RNAcentral describes it as "tRNA-Leu". Lineage: Eukaryota; Metazoa; Platyhelminthes; Tricladida; Uteriporidae. The record is from RNAcentral.